GAUCCGGCUCAGGAUGAACGCUGGCGGCGUGCCUAACACAUGCAAGUCGAACGGACUUACAUUGAAGCCUAGCGAUAUGUAAGUUAGUGGCGGACGGGUGAGUAACGCGUGGGUAACCUGCCUUGUACUGGGGGACAACAGUUGGAAACGACUGCUAAUACCGCAUAAGCGCACAGCUUCGCAUGAAGCAGUGUGAAAAACUCCGGUGGUACAAGAUGGACCCGCGUCUGAUUAGCUGG
Molecule: ribosomal RNA, 239 nt
Filed under: uncultured bacterium
Lineage: Bacteria
Description: partial 16S ribosomal RNA
Rfam family: Bacterial small subunit ribosomal RNA
Source: RNAcentral